RNAcentral lists this ribosomal RNA (253 nucleotides) under uncultured bacterium. RNAcentral describes it as "partial 16S ribosomal RNA". It matches the Rfam family "Bacterial small subunit ribosomal RNA", at positions 524 to 776 of the family's 1533-position model. The record is from RNAcentral.
UACGUAGGGUGCAAGCGUUAAUCGGAAUUACUGGGCGUAAAGCGUGCGCAGGCGGUUAUGUAAGACAGUUGUGAAAUCCCCGGGCUCAACCUGGGAACUGCAUCCGAGACUGCAUUGCUAGAGUAUGGGAGAGGAAAGCGGAAUUUCUGGUGUAGCAGUGAAAUGCGUAGAUAUCAGAAGGAACAUCAGUGGCGAAGGCGGCUUUCUGGACCAAUACUGACGAUCAGGUGCGAAAGCGUGGGGAGCAAACAGG